Molecule: ribosomal RNA, 895 nt
Filed under: Nodulosphaeria aconiti
Lineage: Eukaryota; Fungi; Ascomycota; Dothideomycetes; Pleosporales; Phaeosphaeriaceae
Description: partial large subunit ribosomal RNA
Rfam family: Eukaryotic large subunit ribosomal RNA
Source: RNAcentral
CGGAGGAAAAGAAACCAACAGGGAUUGCCCCAGUAACGGCGAGUGAAGCGGCAAUAGCUCAAAUUUGAAAUCUGGCUCUUUUAGGGUCCGAGUUGUAAUUUGCAGAGGGCGCUUUGGCGUUGGCAGCGGUCCAAGUUCUUUGGAACAGGACGUCACAGAGGGUGAGAAUCCCGUACGUGGUCGCUAUCCUUCGCCGUGUAAAGCCCCUUCGACGAGUCGAGUUGUUUGGGAAUGCAGCUCUAAAUGGGAGGUAAAUUUCUUCUAAAGCUAAAUACUGGCCAGAGACCGAUAGCGCACAAGUAGAGUGAUCGAAAGAUGAAAAGCACUUUGGAAAGAGAGUCAAAUAGCACGUGAAAUUGUUGAAAGGGAAGCGCUUGCAGCCAGACUUGCCUGUAGUUGCUUAUCCAGACUUUUGUCUGGUGCACUCUUCUGCGGGCAGGCCAGCAUCAGUUUGGGCGGUUAGAUAAAGGUCUCUGUCAUGUACCUCUCUUCGGGGAGGCCUUAUAGGGGAGACGACAUGUAACCAGCCUGGACUGAGGUCCGCGCAUCUGCUAGGAUGCUGGCGUAAUGGCUGUAAGCGGCCCGUCUUGAAACACGGACCAAGGAGUCUAACAUCUAUGCGAGUGUUUGGGUGUCAAGCCCAGACGCGUAAUGAAAGUGAACGGAGGUAAGAACCCUUUGGGUGCAUUAUCGACCGAUCCUGAUGUCUUCGGAAGGAUUUGAGUAAGAGCAUGGCUGUUGGGACCCGAAAGAUGGUGAACUAUGCUUGAAUAGGGUGAAGCCAGAGGAAACUCUGGUGGAGGCUCGCAGCGGUUCUGACGUGCAAAUCGAUCGUCAAAUUUGGGCAUAGGGGCGAAAGACUAAUCGAACUAUCUAGUAGCUGGUUCCUGCCGAU